AUCUUCCUAGUUGCCACCGACCAUUCUCCAAUCACGCAACCACUUUCACUUUGAUAUCCAUCUCUGACUUUCACUGCCGCUUUUCGCUUGCGUAAUCGUAGUAGCCGGCAGGUGAAAGCUGAGAAAAGAAACGCUGCGAAAAAAAAACGUUCAAGGUUUUUGCAGACCACCAUCAGGCUUCUUGGGUGGUGUUCGUUUUUUGAAA
This is a non-coding RNA of Caenorhabditis elegans, 205 nucleotides long. Lineage: Eukaryota; Metazoa; Nematoda; Chromadorea; Rhabditida; Rhabditidae. The record is from Ensembl.